UACAGAGGGUGCGAGCGUUAAUCGGAAUUACUGGGCGUAAAGCGCACGUAGGCGGCUUGGUAUGUCGGGUGUGAAAUCCCCGGGCUCAACCUGGGAACUGCCUCCGAAACUGCCUUGCUAGAGUAUGGGAGAGGGAAGUGGAAUUUCCGGUGUAGCAGUGAAAUGCGUAGAGAUCGGAAGGAACACCAGUGGCGAAGGCGACUUCCUGGACCAAUACUGACGAUCAGGUGCGAAAGAGUGGGGAGCAAACAGG
RNAcentral lists this ribosomal RNA (253 nucleotides) under uncultured bacterium. RNAcentral's name for it is "partial 16S ribosomal RNA". It matches the Rfam family "Bacterial small subunit ribosomal RNA", at positions 524 to 776 of the family's 1533-position model. The record is from RNAcentral.